AAGCAUUAUCCCUGGGGGGCUGGUCAGACAUCUUAGCAGUUAAGAACACUAGCUGUUCUUCUAGAGGUCCUGAGUUCAAUUCUCAGCAACCACAUGGUGGCUCACAACCAUCUGUAAUGGGAUCCGAUACUCUCGUCUGGCAUUCAGGUGUGCAUGCAGAUGAAAUACUCAUGCAUUAAAAAAAAAUUAAUUUUUUUUUUUUUUGGUUUUUCGAGACAGGGUUUCUCUGUAUAGUCCUGGCUGUUCUGGAACUCACUUUGUAGACCAGGCUGGCCUCGAACUCAGAAAUCAGCCUGCCUCUGCCUCCCAAGUGCUGGGAUAAGACUACUAGAGAAGCCCGCCAACUAUAAACACUAUCAAAAAGUGUUAUCUGUCAUAUACCAGUUGAUUGUGGUGUAGAAAAGCACAAGAGCUGGCCACCACAAGAGACAGCAGGAAGGACGUCACGCAUGUAUAUAACCCCAGCCCUUGGGAGGUGGAUCAUAAGGUGAAGGCACUGUCAGAUACAUAGUGAGUUUAAGGCUAGUCUGGGUUACAGGAGGUCCUGUCUCAACGCUUCUCAAAGACUAGAGAUGGCCAAUAAAAUAACCACUAGACACAUAUAGUUACCUAAAUCUAGCCUAAUGAAAGCAAAAUGAAAAUUCAUUCUUCAGUCACACUAAGCACUUUUCAAUAUCCUUCACAGCCAGUCGCCUGUAUAACAUAUUUCCUUCACAGACUUCUUUGGGACAACAGUUAGAGCAAGGAUACAGCUAUAUAUAGUCUAGCUGUGACUCAACACUUGAUUUUAGCCAAAAGGCCAAGCAGCAAUUAGAUAUGACUCAAUUGCCAGGCUACAUGGAAAAUUGGCCCCAGGAAUGGGGAUAAAAGUAUGUCAGAUCCAUUGAUAGACAAAUACGUGUAUGUGUCUGCAGUUCCCAAUCUGUGUAACAAGUAUGAAGAAGAAACUUAAGGGUUUUUUGAAAAGUCAUUUGGAUUGUGUUUUUGCUUGUUUUUGUUUGUCAUGUGUCACGUGUGACAAACACGUGAAGGAACGUUUUGUUAAAGUGGACACAGGUAUGAAAGGCUAAGGCAAAUUCUCGAAGGAACGUCAGGUGAAAGGAUGUACUGCUAAAGCAACACGCGAAAGGACACGUGAUGAAGGAUUCUUUGCUAACGACACACAUGCAUUGUGUCCACCUUGCAUUGCGUAGUUGAGCUGCAUUUGUUGAGACUCCAUAGAGAGAAACCGAGCCAAAAAACUUCUGGUGGUGUGCUGCAGUUUCUUGCCACUUCCUCGGACUUGGGCUGAUUGGCAAAGUGAUGUCAGCUGAGACAGGUGCACAUGUUGAGGCAAGACCCAUGGAAGACUCCUGAUGCUUGGAGGGAAUAAAUAGAACUUAAUGGACAUGGGUAAAGGCUGAGCUUGGCUUGCUUAUAGAGCUAGCUGUGCAACGCGUGUGGGUCUUGCGUCUUCUCUGAUCUUGGAUACCUUGAGAGAGGCACAGCUGAGGACUUCUCCUUGUUCCUUUUGGCCCUGGUCCCUCCUGCUGAUUCCAGCAGAGGCUGAGGCCUGGCUGUCUCUACUAAGUAGUGCCACCAUGGCUGAUUUGUGUUUGCUAUCCUGACUCUACCGAACUGGACUGUAUCUAUGAAGUGUUUGCGAAUGGAUCGAGCUGCUGCUGCUAACCUAUGAACUGGACCACUGAUUUCCAGACAACACAGAUGGGAAUUGCUCCAAAGAACCAUUUCUAAAUAGGUCCACUUCCCCGUAUCCUUUCUUUUCCAUCCUCUGGUGGGUGGUGGGCUAUAACAAGGGAGGUUAAAGCGUUUUAAAACCAUCAUUAAACAUAGGUAUUUGAAAAAUUAAAGUUACACAAGUAUUUAUUGG
This 1870-nucleotide long non-coding RNA is filed under the name Mus musculus (house mouse). Its description in RNAcentral is "long non-coding RNA chr1:178339600-178341470". The record is from RNAcentral. Lineage: Eukaryota; Metazoa; Chordata; Mammalia; Rodentia; Muridae.